AUUGAACGCUGGCGGCAUGCUUUACACAUGCAAGUCGAACGGUAACACGCCUUUGGGUGUUGACGCGUGGGGAGCGGGUGUGUGAUAUACAGGAGAGUGCCCCGAGGUGGGGGAUAAAGCAGCGAGAGCUGUGCUUUUAUACCACGUGAUAUGAGGAUGAAAACGGGGGGGCAGGAAGGAAUGUUUGGCCUUGCGGCUUUGGAUGGGCGGAUGUCAGAUUUGGUGGUUGGUGGGGUAAAGGCCUACCAAGCCGACGAUCUGUAGCUGGUCUGAGAGGACGACCAGCCACACUGGGACUGAGACACGGCCCAGACUCCUACGGGAGGCAGCAGUGGGGAAUUUUGGACAAUGGGCGCAAGCCUGAUCCAGCAAUGCCGCGUGCGGGAAGAAGGCCUUCGGGUUGUAAACCGCUUUUGUACGGAACGAAAAGCUUUUGGCUAAUACCUCGGGGGGAUGACGGUACCGGAAGAAUAAGCACCGGCUAACUACGUG
RNAcentral lists this ribosomal RNA (492 nucleotides) under uncultured bacterium. Its description in RNAcentral is "partial 16S ribosomal RNA". It matches the Rfam family "Bacterial small subunit ribosomal RNA", at positions 30 to 507 of the family's 1533-position model. The record is from RNAcentral.